RNAcentral lists this long non-coding RNA (622 nucleotides) under Lathyrus oleraceus (garden pea). Its description in RNAcentral is "Pisum sativum (pea) long non-coding RNA (PSAT_LNC041686)". The record is from RNAcentral. Lineage: Eukaryota; Viridiplantae; Streptophyta; Magnoliopsida; Fabales; Fabaceae.
UGAUGUGUGUGUAUAUGUGUGAUAUGCGUAUGUGUUGUGUUUGCGUGUGCGUGAUUUAUGUGUGCGUGUGUGAUGUGUGUGUGUGUGCGCGUGUGAUGUGUGUGUAUAUGUGUGAUAUGCGUGUGUGUUGUGUUUGCGUGUGCGUGAUUUAUGUGUGCGUGUGUGAUGUGUGUGUGUGUGUGCGUGAUGUAUUUGUAAUGUGUGUGUUUCAUAUGUAGGUGUGUGUGUGUGUGAUGUGUGUGUGAUAUGUGGGUAAUGUGUGUGUGAUGUGUGUGUGUGUGUAAUAUGUGUGUAUGUGUGUGUGUUGUGUGUGAUGUGUGUGAUGUGUCUGUGUAUGUGUGUGAUGUGUGUGUGUGAGAGAUGUGUGUGUGUGUGUGAGUGAUGUGUAUGUGAUGUGUGUGUGUCUCUGCGUGUGUGUUGUGUGUGUGUGUGUGUGAUGUGUGUGUGAUGUAUGUGUGUGUCCUCCGUGUGUGCGUGUGAUAUGUGUGUGUGUGUGUCUCUGUGUGUGUGAUGUGUCUUUGCCUGUGUAUGUGUGUGUGUGUGUCUGUGUGUAUGGUGUGUGUAUGUCUGUCUGUAUGUGUGAUAUGUAUGUGUGUGUGUAUUUGUGUGUGUGAUGUGUGUG